This 406-nucleotide ribosomal RNA is filed under the name uncultured soil bacterium. Its description in RNAcentral is "bacterial SSU rRNA". It matches the Rfam family "Bacterial small subunit ribosomal RNA", at positions 26 to 437 of the family's 1533-position model. The record is from RNAcentral.
AGAUUGAACGCUAGCGGGAUGGCUUUAACGACAUGCAAGUCGAACGGCAGCGCGGACUUCGGUCUGGCGGCGAGUGGCGAACGGGUGAGUAAUAUAUCGGAACGUGCCCAGUAGCGGGGGAUAACUACGCGAAAGCGUGGCUAAUACCGCAUACGCCUACGGGGGAAAGGGGGGAUCGCAAGACCUCUCACUAUUGGAGCGGCCGAUAUCAGAUUAGCUAGUUGGUGAGGUAAAGGCUCACCAAGGCGACGAUCUGUAGCUGGUUUGAGAGGACGACCAGCCACACUGGGACUGAGACACGGCCCAGACUCCUACGGGAGCANCAGUGGGGAAUUUUGGACAAUGGGGGAAACCUGAUCCAGCCAUCCCGCGUGUGCGAUGAAAGGCCCUGGUUGUAAGUACGUAC